This 77-nucleotide transfer RNA is filed under the name Nitrospirota bacterium. Its description in RNAcentral is "Nitrospirae bacterium tRNA-Pro". It matches the Rfam family "tRNA". Rfam says of the family: Transfer RNA (tRNA) molecules are approximately 80 nucleotides in length. Lineage: Bacteria; Pseudomonadati; Nitrospirota. The record is from RNAcentral.
CGGGGCGUAGCGCAGCCCGGUAGCGCGCUCGCUUGGGGUGCGAGAGGUCGUGGGUUCAAAUCCCGCCGCCCCGACCA